UACGGAAAGGGACGAGUGGUGACAAAUGACCAGUAGCGGGAAAAGCCGGGCGUACUCGGAUGUACCCACACACCUAUGACGUUUUUCGCGGGAAGUAAGAAAAUCGUGUCUGAACCUUAGACGCAGUGACGGUCGUGUUUGCUGUUGCCAAGCUCACUGAGAAGUGUCAGUACACGGUCGUUGUUCCCCGUUGAUUUAGCUCAAAGAACCUCAGUGUAUGGGACGAGAAUAUACUGGGUAGAGCCACUGUCAGCCUUUUGAAUUUUUCUUGAAGCAAAUGGUGCAAGAGGAUGUUUCUUCGGAAUGUUCGUCGUCCACAGUCAGCCCAAGUUUCCAAUGAAUGUGAUUCUCAUGCAGCAACCUUUAUCCAGAUGGGGGACAGCAAUGGAUACAUACGACCAUGGACAGCACAUCCUAAAGUACGGUCAGAGGUUUCACCAAGGAGAAUACCAAGACAACAUCUUUGCAAGUCUCACAUGCAUGUGCCUGGCAGAAACACAGAAGCUCACAUUGAUACUGUGUCAAAAUUGAAUUUCCAAAGCUAUGAAAACCUCCAUGAUCUCGGAGACACAGAAGGAUUCGGUAAACCUGGUACCGAUGAAAAUCCAAGAGUGACAACAGGGCCUCAGAUAUCUCAGGAAGAAGGUAUUUCACAGGGCACCCGUCACCUUUCAUUCGAAAACUGGGUAGAUGGCUCACCCGUGGAUUCUGAGGAAUAUGACACUGAUGUUGAAGAAGAAAAGAAGCCAGUGUCUAAGAAGAGCAACCUUCUCUCGGACCCAACUGGCAUUUUUACAUAUGAAGAACAGUGCCAGAAACAUGGUUGUGUACCUAUAUCGUAUUUACGACGACAUUUGAAUAAGAGGAAUAUCCAUAUGAGACAUCACUACCUUGGUGGUCUUGCAACAAAACCUGUGGCUACUGCUCUCAAGCGUAACACAGUAACGGAGCAUGUGGACCUGGCAGACAACUGUGUUGAGGGAGCAGGGGCAUACUACCUUGCUGACAUGCUCAAAGAAAAUAUGUUCAUUGUAUAUUUGAAUUUGGCUAAUAAUUUUAUCCGGUCAACUGGAGCAGCAGCAUUUGCUGGAAUGCUGGAAGUGAACACCACCCUGAAGACACUGUCACUGGCAGGUAAUCAGCUGCAAGAUAGAGAUGCAUGUAACUUCGUAGAGGCUCUAAAGAACAACAUGUCCCUGACCUGUCUGGACCUUAGUCACAAUGAGUUUGGAGAGAAGGGAGGAGAAAUGAUUGGCUCAGCAUUGAAUGCCAAUGAUGGUCUGACUGAUGUGGACCUCAGCUGGAAUGCUAUUAGAAACAAGGGUGCAGUAGCCAUUGCAAAGGCUUUGAAGACAAAUGCAACCUUGGAGGUUCUUGACCUGUCAUGGAACGGCUUUGGUCUCACUGGAGCAGAAUCACUUCAACAGGCUCUGCAAGUGAAUACAACACUUAAAGUGUUAGAUCUCACUAACAAUCGCAUCAAUAGUCAAGCUGCAUUGAAACUAGCUUUGGGAUUAAAGAAAAACUUUGGCCUGGAAACACUUGUGCUGAAUAUGAACCCACUGGGAGAUAAUGGUGUGGAAGCCAUCUUAAAGGCUGUGGCAACACAUGACAGUCUCAGAUUGCUGUCAAUGGAGUGCCGUGGAGGCUUGCAGACAUUAAUCAGAAGAUGAGGAUGGUUUGCUUUCAUGCACAUCAGUUGAGUGCAAGUGGAAAGUUCCAAGAAAAAGGAAGUUGGAUCCAAUGAAAUCGGAUGACUUGAACCUGAUGUCAAGUGGCAGGAAGAGUGAACAAAAAGAGACCUAACACCAGAAGAGGCUGCAUCAAAUACAAAUUUCUUCUGCCAUAUUGUGGACAACAAUGUGACUCUUAAAGAAAACCAUGCAUUCUACUUUCAAGUACAAGGACAGGUGGCCUUGACCAAAAGAACUUGGUGUGGACUCUCAAAGGGAUAUCUAUUGAAAGGAUCACAUUUGACGAGGCUAAGUGGCAUCAGAUGGUCACAAGGCUUCGCAGUUUCUGUCAGCCAUUAUUCCUGAAAAAUAUACCUGACGUGUCCAGCCAGGUGUUUCACCGUAUCAGAUUGACUGUUGUACUACCAUCUUACCAGUUGUUUUAUCCUAAGCUGACUCAGUCGAGUCAAUUCAAUGUUUCACUCAAUACGAUAUCAUACCUUUCUUUGAUAGUCAUAGAUACUUACCAUUCAGUGAGUGAAAUGUUACUUAACACCGCAUUUACGGCGACUGACCAUUCAGAUAGUAAGUCUUAAGCUUAGACAUAGGAUAUCUGCUUCUCCUUGUAAUUUCUUGAACCAUUCUAUUAAGCCAUAACAUGUCAUUUCAAGACGUUACAGAAAAUAUGUUAUGAUAACAUGGACGACAUGAUUAAAGAAAAUUGUCAAGCGUUUUUUUCUUUUAUUUUAAGUUAUUGUUACAAAAAUUAGUAUCAUGGGACUAUGAUCCUGCUGUCACAGCUAAAACAUGAAGUUGUUUAUCCAUUUAUAUGAAGUGUCAUGAUUAUUAUAUCACUGCUUUGAUUCAAUAAGUAAAACAAAAAUAGACAACCAGUAGGUGGUCAUGUCAAUAGUCAUAUUUUUCAAAGUUCAAAUUUUUGAAGAACAUAUGUUGAUUAUGUAUGGACAAAAAUAGACUUAUUUGGCUCAAUGUAUUUAAUACAAAAUUGUUAUCAUGAUACCAUGAUUAUGAAGUUUAACUAUUUAGCAAGGAACUGUCAUCAAAGAAGUAAUUUUCAUCAAUUUCUUGGUCAUGAGGAUAAAGGGGAGGAAGCAGAGUAGUCAAAGCUUUACAGAUUUUACAGAUUUUGUUCACAGAUUUUGAAAUUGUAAUUGUAAUUACACACUGCCAAAUUCUGAAAUUCUUGACACAUUUCAUGUGAGUAGUAUAGACAAUGAUGGUUCUACCCCAACCCCACUGGAGCCAGAUUUAUACCCAAUACUGCUACUACAGAGGUAAUUUUUUAUGCAAAAAUGAUGAUGCGAUUCAACAAUCGUCAUAAGACUAAACUAAAUUGUAAUGAAAAUGUUCUCUAUUAUUUCUCGUACACAUACCAUUAUUUUAAACAAAAGGAUAUUCAACAUUUUAACUAAUGUAAGCAGGAUACGACAGGAAACAAUCUAUUUUUAAUCUCCAACCAGUUCUUUGGUUUUGGCACGUUUGGCAUGGAAUAAUUGACACGCUUGUUGUCUCCCCUGUUCUAUGAACUUUUUUUUUUUCGUCAAAGCUAAUACAACUGGUCUUAUGAGAAUUGGAUCGAAUCUCCUGCUUUAUUGUAUUGUAUUUGGUUAGUUCUGACAACACUAAACGAAACUCCUCCUCGGAUAGACCAUGCUGUUGAAAUAUGAUCCUCAAUGCUAUUCAACUUUGCUUCAGCGAGUAUCAGAAUAUUAUUAUGUUUUAAUGCUUUCUUUUGCAACUUACGAGAAAUAAAUUUUAUUGCUAUUCCUGCCAGUCCUGAGACUCCGGCUGCUACUUCCAUACCAAGUACGAUAGGCGCAGCGAUUAUAGUUGAUAAUAAACCAACACUGGACACACCGAGUCCCAUAUGCCAGCUGUUACAAGCGCAAUUUUACUCAGAUCUGAGAAAUAGUCUUAUACCUAAGUAUUACCAUUCACAACCUUCAUUUGAUAAAUUUUGCACUCUUAUGUCUUUCCAAAAUGAACAUGUUAUUAAUAAAUUAGCUAAAUAUAUUUUUCUUGCUUUCAAGAAAUGACAACAGUUUUUCAAAUGUUUGCAAUAAUUCAAUUGUUUCACUAUGUAUACCCCUGAUAUUAUUUGGCGCCUGCGAUUGUUGUAAUCCACUGUAUCCAUAUUGUAUAAUGGGCCGGUGGCCUCUUUACUGAAAUAAAUUCAAUCACUCACAAGCGCUGUGUCAACUCCAUCGAGAACAUUCACAGCUCUGCGAUACUUUUUAUACAAUCCAAGUCCAAAC
This 3949-nucleotide unclassified non-coding RNA is filed under the name Haliotis rufescens (red abalone). RNAcentral describes it as "leucine-rich repeat-containing protein 74B-like, transcript variant X1". Lineage: Eukaryota; Metazoa; Mollusca; Gastropoda; Lepetellida; Haliotidae. The record is from RNAcentral.